UGCCUAGCAACUUCAUCCCUACCUCCUCGUGGUAAUGGCCGGAGUACGAGUAACCUUGGGGAAGAUCGGGUGACCAACCCCAGUGGGAACUUUGGUCGUAUGCUGAAAGGAAAGG
RNAcentral lists this ribozyme (115 nucleotides) under Aedes aegypti (yellow fever mosquito). RNAcentral describes it as "drz-agam-1 ribozyme". It matches the Rfam family "drz-agam-1 ribozyme". The record is from Rfam by way of RNAcentral. Lineage: Eukaryota; Metazoa; Arthropoda; Insecta; Diptera; Culicidae.